CGGUGUUUAACUGGCGUGAUGUGGGACGUCCUACCGGUGGGCUUAGCCUCGCGAGGGGCGGCCCAACUAAUAUCCCGUCGCGGUGCUCUUUACUGAGUGUCGAGUCGGGCCGGUACGUUUACUUUGAACAAAUUAGAGUGCUUAAAGCAGGCUAUCCUCGCCGGAAUACUGCGUGCAUGGAAUAAUGGAAUAGGACCUCGGUUCUAUUUUGUUGGUUUUCGGAACCCCGAGGUAAUGAUUAAUAGGGACAGAUGGGGGCAUUCGUAUUGCGACGUUAGAGGUGAAAUUCUUGGAUCGUCGCAAGACGGACAGAAGCGAAAGCAUUUGCCAAAAAUGUUUUCAUUAAUCAAGAACGAAAGUUAGAGGUUCGAAGGCGAUCAGAUACCGCCCUAGUUCUAACCAUAAACGAUGCCAGCUAGCGAUCCGCCGAAGUUCCUCCGAUGACUCGGCGGGCAGCUUCCGGGAAACCAAAGCUUUUGGGUUCCGGGGGAAGUAUGGUUGCAAAGCUGAAACUUAAAGGAAUUGACGGAAGGGCACCACCAGGAGUGGAGCCUGCGGCUUAAUUUGACUCAACACGGGAAACCUCACCAGGCCCAGACACCGGAAGGAUUGACAGAUUGAUAGCUCUUUCUUGAUUCGGUGGGUGGUGGUGCAUGGCCGUUCUUAGUUGGUGGAGCGAUUUGUCUGGUUAAUUCCGAUAACGAACGAGACUCUAGCCUGCUAAAUAGGCGUACCUUAUGGUAUCGCGAAGGCCCCCGGCUUCGGCCGGUGGGUUUUUACUACCAACGUACAAACAAAUCUUCUUAGAGGGACAGGCGG
Molecule: ribosomal RNA, 819 nt
Filed under: uncultured eukaryote
Lineage: Eukaryota
Description: SSU rRNA
Rfam family: Eukaryotic small subunit ribosomal RNA
Source: RNAcentral